UACGGGGGGAGCAAGCGUUGUUCGGAUUUACUGGGCGUAAAGGGCGCGUAGGCGGUCAGCACAAGUCAGUUGUGAAAUCUCCGGGCUUAACUCGGAAAGGUCAACUGAUACUGCGGGGCUAGAGUGCAGAAGGGGCAACUGGAAUUCUCGGUGUAGCGGUGAAAUGCGUAGAUAUCGAGAGGAACACCUGCGGCGAAGGCGGGUUGCUGGGCUGACACUGACGCUGAUGCGCGAAAGCUAGGGGAGCGAACGGG
RNAcentral lists this ribosomal RNA (254 nucleotides) under uncultured bacterium. Its description in RNAcentral is "partial 16S ribosomal RNA". It matches the Rfam family "Bacterial small subunit ribosomal RNA", at positions 524 to 776 of the family's 1533-position model. The record is from RNAcentral.